RNAcentral lists this long non-coding RNA (3700 nucleotides) under Ananas comosus (pineapple). RNAcentral describes it as "long non-coding RNA (ACOM_LNC012404)". Lineage: Eukaryota; Viridiplantae; Streptophyta; Magnoliopsida; Poales; Bromeliaceae. The record is from RNAcentral.
AAGUCGGUUCGGCGAUUCGUCGAGCCGAUGCAAAGAUAUUGAAAAAAGAAACCUUCCGACAUUCGUUUCUGCCUGGAGGGCCGAUGUGGCGUCCAUAAAUCGCGGGAUAGGAUUCUGAGUGUCGUAGCAAGAAACCGAAGACCUUUAAUUUCCGGAUCGCGGAUCGGAGGUCGUUCGGUGGUCGCGCGUGGAUUGGGUCGAGCCGAGCGGCGUGCGCCGUGGGAGGCCGAUUGCGAGUGACGACGAGCUAUCGGAACGCUAUAAAAGAUGGGUGGUGACCAUCCCGAAGCAGUUGAACUGCUCCCUAUGUCUAAGUAUUAUGGUUGAUCAAUUAUGCAUAUUGAGCAUGAUGCAUUAUCGGGUGCUUAAUUAGUUGUUAUACAUUCUUGCAUGCUAAAGGUAGUGUUGUAUUACUUGUUUAACACUUGAGCCUUGUAUGCAUGAGAUUGAGAUAUGUUGAUUAGUAAUCCUAUAAUGAGAUGAUAAAUGUUGAUUUGAUCCUGGGUAGACGAAAACCUAUUGGAUGUGUAAUUAGUGUAUUGGGAACACUUAAACAAGAACGAAUGGCAUUUGAACUAGUGUAACUAUUAUGCAUAAUAGGGUAUUAAAUAGUUGCAUUUUCAUUCUUGCAUGAUCCUUAGUAGUGUAGCAACAUGAGUUUGGCACUUGACUUAGGAUGCAUGAGAAUAGGGACUUGUGACUUAGAACUCUAUAGUGGUGAAGUAAAUGAUGAACUUAAUCUUGUGUUGACGAGAACCAAAGAACGAGUGGCAUCUAGAUAAAUGAAUAACUUGACGUGUGGCAUGAUAGGUAGAGUAAAAUGGAAACACUUAUUGCAUGUUGAACUUAGGGAUGAACUAGCUCCCAAAUGAUGUUGUCUAGAGUGGUAGGGUAACCUCUGUGACGAGGAUUUGAUCACACUCAUAUGUCUGUUCAAAGCUUGGGGUGGUCGCUCCACACAAGCAGUGUAUUCCGGAGUUGUCACACGAUAGGGAUAGCCUUUUGGGUCCCGCAGACGGUCUUGGGCGAGUGAGCUGAUCCUCCCCAGGUGAGUUGGGUGAGUGAGCUGAUCCUCACCUGUGAGAUAGAGAUUGGAUUGUGGUACCUGUGNGUAGUAAACGAGCCGUUUUACUACCGAUUUGUUUUCGAUGAUAGAGCUUCCAAAUUGACAAUCGGCUCCGUUAAAUAUGAUCUAAACCAUUUAAACUAUUUAGAAAUCAAAUUUCACGCACUUUCGAUAUUGUUCUUUCAUCCAUCAAGUGAACAGAAAAAUAAAUGGCUGAAAAUGAAUACUCUUUAAAAAAUGAUGAUAGGAGUCUUGUAAUAAAGAUUAAGAGUAUAGAUCUUGUUUUAAAUAGUUUAAAGAAUUUUCUAACAAAAAUUCUUUAGAUUUGGAUAUCUUUACGCCGUUAAACGAGAAAACGCCUCUUAUCGACUAUUAAAAUUACAAAUUUUGCAACCCUUUGAUCAUUAGGUAAAUGAUGUCGAAAAGAUUUGAAAUUUUAUUUCUAAACACUUCAAGUGGUAUAGAUCAUGUUCAAUGGAGCCGAUCGUCAAUUUGGAAGUUCUAUCAUUGAAAACAAAUCGGUAGUAAAACGGCUCGUUUACUACCGAUAGUACUCUAGCUCAACUCUCUCUCUCUCUAUAUAUAGUAGAGCUACUAUGCUAUCGAAAGUAUAGAGGAUCUGGUGCUUUCGAUUUUUUGAUUCUUAGAUCAACCCCUUUAAUCAUUUCUUAUCUUUGGAUUAAUACUAUUAUUAGCUUGUAGGGAUUACUCAAUCUUAGGGGUAUUAUUUAAUCCUAGGGGGACCGCAAUCAUCCUAACCAUACAAUUCUUAAUCAAAGGGUCAAAAAUUCAAAAACAUCAAAUCCUCUAUAUUUUCGAUAGCAUAGUAGUUGUACACUAUAUAUAUAUAUAUUAAAAAAUAUAAAAAUAUAAUAUAUUUUAAUUAUAUAUAGGUUGAGUGAAUAAUCUGAGUUUAGUUAAAAUUGGGCCAAUGUUGUUGGCCCAUAAAAAUAAACCCAAUAGACAAAUAAAAGAGCAAAAUUUCACUAAAUUGAUAUAUUUUUCCUUUCUUUCUUUUUUUCACAGAGCUCUAAAUUUUCAAUAUGUUUCUCUCUUUCUUUUUUCUGUCUCUCACCCUAAGUGGCCAAGCCGGAAACCAUCCAAGUUACCAAGUAACAACAUAUGCCCGCCGUUGCCUACCUUGCUAUUAAUUGUAUGCUUGAAAAAAUAUACAGAAUAUUUUUAAAAUAAAAAUUAUUAUUCAUAUAAAAUUUAAAUUUAGUUAUAUAUAAUUGGAUAGUUUAAUCCAAUAUUUAUCUAUAUAAUUUAUUUAUUUUUGACUGCAUAAAUAAAAAUGAAUAAUAUGGAGAUUGAAAGUGGAAGAAAAGAUAUGUGAGGCUGAAAAGAUUAGAUAUUCAACUCAUAAAUUAUUUUUUCUCAUAUUACAAUACUAUAUUUCAUAUAAUUAUUUUGUACUUUGAAUUAUUAGACAUAUUUUUGUAUCAAAUUACAGAUAAUGUUCUAUACAAAUUAAACUAUUAAUCGAUGUUGAGAAUUUCAAGUGGCUCGUUUACGGCUCGAGCUCGCUCGACUCGAAAUUAGGCUCGCUCGAGCUCGGCUCGAAUUAAUUUCAAUCCAAGCUUGAGCUUAAAUUUAGGCUCGAAAUUAAUUUCAAGCCGAAUNCUAUUAAUUGUAUGCUUGAGAAAAUAUACAGAAUAUUUUUAAAGUAAAAAAUUAUUAUUCAUAUAAAAUUUUAAUUUUAGUUAUAUAUGAUUGGAUAGUUUAAUCCAAUAUUUAUCUAUAUAAUUUAUUUAUUUUUGACUGCAUAAAUGAAAAUGAAUAAUAUGGAGAUUGAAAGCGGAAGAAAAGACAUGUGAGGCUGAAAAGAUUAGAUAUUCAACUCAUAAAUUUUUUCCUCAUAUUAUUCAUUUUUAUUUAUGCAGUCAAAAAUAAAUAAAUUAUAUAGGAGAUUGAAAGUGGAAGAAAAGAUAUGUGAGGCUGAAAAGAUUAGAUAUUCAACUCAUAAAUUAUUUUUUCUCAUAUUACAAUACUAUAUUUCAUAUAAUUAUUUUGUACUUUGAAUUAUUAGACAUAUUUUUGUAUCAAAUUACAGAUAAUGUUCUAUACAAAUUAAACUAUUAAUCGAUGUUGAGAAUUUCAAGUGGCUCGUUUACGGCUCGAGCUCGCUCGACUCGAAAUUAGGCUCGCUCGAGCUCGGCUCGAAUUAAUUUCAAUCCAAGCUUGAGCUUAAAUUUAGGCUCGAAAUUAAUUUCAAGCCGAAUUUGAGCCGAGGUAAGCUUGCUCGAGCUCGGCUUUAAUUUCCGGAUCGCGGAUCGGAGGUCGUUCGGUGGUCGCGCGUGGAUUGGGUCGAGCCGAGCGGCGUGCGCCGUGGGAGGCCGAUUGCGAGUGACGACGAGCUAUCGGAACGCUAUAAAAGAUGGGUGGUGACCAUCCCGAAGCAGUUGAACUGCUCCCUAUGUCUAAGUAUUAUGGUUGAUCAAUUAUGCAUAUUGAGCAUGAUGCAUUAUCGGGUGCUUAAUUAGUUGUUAUACAUUCUUGCAUGCUAAAGGUAGUGUUGUAUUACUUGUUUAACACUUGAGCCUUGUAUGCAUGAGAUUGAGAUAUGUUGAUUAGUAAUCCUAUAAUGAGAUGAUAAAUGUUGAUUUGAUCCUGGGUAGACGAAAACCUAUUGGA